AGCUUCCCUCAGGCUGGACGCAGUUUCUGAGGGUCCUUCCGGUUCACACCCUCCGAGACUCCGUGAUCCUCUGGGCUAUGGAGCGAGGAACCCUGGGUCUUUGUGCACGUGUCUGUUUGAGCGGUAGCGUCUACAAAUUUACAUAUAUCUGCAUGUCAUUAACAUAGAGGCGGGGCCGGAACUUGUUUGGGCAACUAUCCCUGGACAGUUCCCUUUGCUUCCUCUCUCAUCCCGCCUGAAGGGCACGUGGGCAGCGCAUGCAGCCCAGCUCCUCUCAGGACCCAACCAAAGCAAAUCAACAUCCUCUGCAGCUCAAGACUUGACAACUAAACACCAGGAAGAACUUCCAGAUGUCAGGAUUCGAGGCAAAGGAUGAGGACUAUUCGUUUGCCUGUUUGUCCUUGGAGGCUGGAGGCCAGUAUCUGGUUAUUUCUUGGAUUGGAUUCCUAAAAGUAGAUUAACAAGAUCAAG
This is a long non-coding RNA of Neofelis nebulosa (Clouded leopard), 471 nucleotides long. RefSeq lists it as uncharacterized. The record is from RefSeq and is a predicted model, not a curated record. NCBI's taxonomy places the organism in Eukaryota, Metazoa, Chordata, Mammalia, Carnivora, Felidae. The transcript has 4 exons.